Diceros bicornis minor is the source of this 72-nucleotide small nucleolar RNA. RefSeq annotates it as small nucleolar RNA SNORD113/SNORD114 family. The record is from RefSeq and is a predicted model, not a curated record. NCBI's taxonomy places the organism in Eukaryota, Metazoa, Chordata, Mammalia, Perissodactyla, Rhinocerotidae. The transcript has a single exon.
UGGACCAACAAUGGUGGCUGGUGGCAUAUGAGUCAUAUAUGAUGAAUAUGUGUCUGUAACUCUGAGGUCCAA